CUACCGGUGGCCGGGCGGGAUGUAACCCGCUGCUGAGCUGGCAGCUCUGUGUCGCUAGGCUUCGGCCCGGCCGCCGCCGCACAUAAGCUGCGAGGAGGAGCUUUACGACUUCCCGGUCUUCGGGGCCGGGCGCAGCAAGGGCCAGACUCUGCGCUAGCAGGCGCUGCGCGCCAACCGGCCGGCACCUGUCGCAGAAGGUGCAACCGAUCGCACUGUCGCGCCGAAGCUCCUCAAUGGCCAGCGCCAGCUGCAGCCCCGGCCGCCCACUCGCCUCACCUGAGCCUGGGAGCUUGAAAAAUCACAUUUGAGAAGAGGAUUGGAUCCUAGCCAUAACAUAAAUAUAAGGGUGGAACCAAAGUUUUAAUCAAAGAAGGUGGUGUUCAGUUGCUGCUUACAAUAGUUGAUACCCCAGGAUUUGGAGAUGCAGUGGAUAACAGUAAUUGCUGGCAGCCUGUUAUCAAUUACAUUGAUAUUAAAUUUGAGGACUACCUAAAUGCAGAAUCGCGAGUGAACAGAUGUCAGAUGCCUGGUAACAGGGUGCAGUGUUGUUUAUACUUCAUUGCUCCUUCAGGACAUGGACCAUUACAUAACUGAAGACUCCCACCUUCAGGCAGGAUUGGGUAGUACGUGUUUGUAACUACCUGGCAUUGCCUUUUGUUGAGGUUAGAUCUUGGGACAGCCCACAUACCUAGACAAACUUAGGCUUUCCAGCUUGCACUGGACCAGGGUGGAAAGGAAGGGUAGAUGUCUACCCAAAUGGAAUAUUGAGUAUCAGAGACUUCAAAUGAUAACUUUUGUUUGUUUGGAGAAAAUCUUGAGGACGUGAUCACUGUACAAAAGCAUGGCAAAAUGAGGAAACCACUGACAGGUGAAGAAUUUGCACAAUGGAAAACCACCUUGACCAUCUCAUGACUUUAUACAGGAAUCGGAGUGAGUUGGACUAUGGAUCAGGUACUGUGCUCAGCAUCAGAAAAUGGGAUGACAAUGAACAGAGUAACAGGACUAUAUUUCUGAAAAAGGAUGAACUUACUGGAAACAGGAUUGCGUGCCUGAAAUAUAUCCAAAUGGAUAUAAAUGUCAACUCAGUUCUGGGCUGGAGAUAUAGAUUUGGAAUGCACCAACAAUGCAGAUGGUAAUCCUGGCAUGCGAGUAGGUGAGAUCAUCCAGGGAGAUGGCCUAUAAUGAGAGCCUACAACAUGUCAGAUUCUGUUCACUCUCUGCUAUCAGUUGCUGUGUCCUUAAGGAAUGCAGACAAUGUUAAUUCAAGCAAAACAAUAGAAAGAAAAUGAUUUGAAAUGAAAACUUGGCUUUAAAAAGUUACAUAAUAUACUCUCAAGCUAAAUAUAGGUUAUUUUUUAGUA
This 1361-nucleotide long non-coding RNA is filed under the name Homo sapiens (human). Its description in RNAcentral is "novel transcript". The record is from RNAcentral. Lineage: Eukaryota; Metazoa; Chordata; Mammalia; Primates; Hominidae.